This 2663-nucleotide long non-coding RNA is filed under the name Homo sapiens (human). RNAcentral describes it as "non-protein coding lnc-BAZ1A-4:3". The record is from RNAcentral. Lineage: Eukaryota; Metazoa; Chordata; Mammalia; Primates; Hominidae.
CUGAAACAGUUUAGAUGUUUACUUGCUUACACUGGUUUUUGGUUUCAGUUUCCUACCGCUGAAUAACUGCAGGAGUAAAGUUAGUGGUAAAAUAGGAGGCUGUCUAGGGACGUGAUUUCGGGGAAGAAGUCAGGCCUCGACGAGCCACCUUAAGAAAAGUGACUAGGCGGAGCACUCCCAGCUAAGAGCGGAAAGAUGAGAGAUAGAGGUGUGACUGAAGGCAGGGAUCCCCAGGCGCACGUGAGACCUCCGUAGAGGGGCGGGGCUUAGGGCUUUGCAGACCGGAGGCUUGUUCCGCGGAGGGUGGGGCGGUCUCUGCUUGCGCAUGCGCAAUGCCAGCCAGUGCCUGCGCGGCUUGCUCCAGCAAGGUAAAAUUUCCCACUGCGAGGCAGGCAGUGAUGCUGCGGCCGCUUCGCACUGUGGCUCCUGCCGACCGCCAGGCGCUGUUACAGUGGAUGCGAACUAACCGUAAGUGUAAGUGACCAGAGCUAGAGGCAGGUGGUGGGGGCAAGGAUAUGCUGCAGGCGCUGACUUUGAGGACUUAAGCGGGGUGAAGCCAACAGCCUUCCUUGGGAUCGUUGUGCUGGUCUCUGCUGUCUUGGGGGGUAGAUUGACCAGGGCUUUGAGUGCUCUAACGGAAAAGAGAGUUAGUUGCUCGCCACACGUAGACACCAAUUAACAAGAGCGAGCCCUAGUAUACAAGAAGAGGGAUUUUAUUUCUGAAGCCAGCCCGCUUCGUCUUUGGAGCAAAAAAGCGGGCAUUUUAUAAGGUACAAGAGGAAAUGAGCAAGAGGUCUCUGCUAGCUGGUGCCUUAUCUACCGGGUAGUUGAGUUGGUGCAUUUCUGAGCAGAAAUAAGUUGUAAAAGUGGCCAAGUGGGCAUGCUUUCUGCUUACCCUUCUGAGGCGACCGCCUGGCGGUGGGAGUUGCGUCUUGGAUCUCGUAGAUGAAUUUGCUCUGUAGAGAAUGGUCUGGUGAGGGGAGUUGAGAGGUUAUUUUGCAGUUCAAAAAGGGCUAAGUGGAAAGUGUAGUGGGGAGGGGAAAAGAGGGGAAAAAAUAAACUAUCUCUUGGAAAAUGGGGGUAAUCGGAUACAGUACCACUUGGAAUUAAUUGGGUGUGGGAAACCUGGUUCUGAGUGGUUUGUGAGUUUUCAGCAGACUUCGGACAAGCCUUUAGAGCUCCUUGUGCCUAACCCUUUUUCUGAAAGAAAAUAGAGGGUUAGCCCUCCUCCCCAUUACUCCCACAAACUUGUUAGAAUUGGUACGUUGCCACCUGAAAAAGCAUUUUGCAGGAGAGGUUUUAGGCUGUAGCGUUAGUAGGAAGUGUUAAACGAAAAACCUUAGCCAAGUUAAAUUUAACAUUUUGAGCAAAGAAUGAUUCACGAAUCGGGCAGGCUCAGAGAGAUUGCAGCGCAGCCAAGUGUUGAAGAUUUAUAGACAGAAAAAGGCUGCAGUGAGCUUUGAUCCCGCUGCUUCACUCCAGCCUGAGCGACGCAAGACCCUGUCUCUUUAAACACACACGUUAAAACUGAGGAAAUGUGGUAGCUAGAUCUAGUUACUGAAAAAUGGGAUAGAUGUAUUCUGGCAAAGUAAAGCCUGAUGAAAGCUCAAGAAAAUAGGAUAUUCUUAUGUUUGUUAACUAUAGCAAACUAUCCUAUGCCUGUAUGCGAGAGUGUGUGUGUGUGUGUGUGUGUGUGUGUGUGUGUGUGUGUGUAUGUGUGUGUAUUUAUUUUUUGAGACAGAGUUUCACUCUUGUUGCCCAGGCGGGGCUGCAGUGGCGCCAUCCAGCUCACUGCAACCUCCACCUCCCUGAUUCGAGCGAUUUUGAGUGGCUGGGAUUACAGGCGUCCGCCACCACGCCCGGCUCAUUUUUGUAUUUGUAGUAGAGACGGAGUUUCACCAUGUUUCCCAGGCUGGUCCCAAACUGCUGACCUCAGGUGAUCUUCCUGCCUGGGCCUCCCAGAGUGCUGGGAUUGCAGGCGUGAGCCACCACGCCUGGCCACUAUGCCUGUAUUUUGCUGAAUGGUGAUUUCCAUGGUUAUUUUUAUCCAAGCUCAUGACUUGAAAUGUCAUUGUUAGCUGAUGACUUACAAUUUUAGAUUUUUAACCUCGACCUCUUAAAAUUCUUUGUGAUGUUAGAGUCAGUAGGUUUAGAUAUUAUAAUUAACAUUAUUACACAUUUUAGGAGUCAUUUUAGAUAAGAUGUCAAACUGAAGAUAACAGGAACAUCUGCUAGUGAGAUUUGACCUGGAAAGUAUAGAAAACCAGAUACACAGCUUUGUUUAUUUAUUUAUUUAUUGAGACGGAUUCUCAGUCUGUCGCCAGGCUGGAGUGCAGUAGCACGAUCUUAGCUCAUUGCAACCUCUGCCUUCUGGAUUCAAGUGAUUCUCCUGCCCCUGGAGUAGCUGGGAUUACAGGCACGAACCACCGCGUCCAGCUAAUUUUGGUAUUUUUAGUAGAGACGGGGUUUUACUAUGUUGGCUAGGCUGGUCUUGAACUCCUGACCUCGUGAUCUGCCCUCCUCGUCCUCCCAAAGUGCUGGAUUACUGGCAUGAGCCACCGCACCCAGCCGGAUACAGCUUUAUUUCUAUAUACACAAAAUCAAGAUAAUAAUUUCCAUAAUAUGCUGAGUCUCCUGUCACUUCAUCUAAACCCUAUGUUGCA